Molecule: ribosomal RNA, 457 nt
Filed under: uncultured bacterium
Lineage: Bacteria
Description: partial 16S ribosomal RNA
Rfam family: Bacterial small subunit ribosomal RNA
Source: RNAcentral
CCUACGGGGGGCUGCAGUGGGGAAUAUUGCACAAUGGGGGAAACCCUGAUGCAGCGACGCCGCGUGAGUGAAGAAGUCUUUCUGUAUGUAAAGCUCUAUCAGCAGGGAAGAAAUAGCGACCUUUUGGUCGCCAGCCGGUACCUGCCUAAGAAGCCCCGGCUAACUCCGUGCCAGCAGCCGCGGUAAUACGGAGGAUGCGAGCGUUAUCCGGAUUUAUUGGGUUUAAAGGGUGCGCAGGCGGAAGAUCAAGUCAGCGGUAAAAUUGAGAGGCUCAACCUCUUCGAGCCGUUGAAACUGGUUUUCUUGAGUGAGCGAGAAGUAUGCGGAAUGCGUGGUGUAGCGGUGAAAUGCAUAGAUAUCACGCAGAACUCCGAUUGCGAAGGCAGCAUACCGGCGCUCAACUGACGCUCAUGCACGAAAGUGUGGGUAUCGAACAGGAUUAGAUACCCGAGUAGUC